This 493-nucleotide ribosomal RNA is filed under the name uncultured bacterium. Its description in RNAcentral is "bacterial SSU rRNA". It matches the Rfam family "Bacterial small subunit ribosomal RNA", at positions 28 to 521 of the family's 1533-position model. The record is from RNAcentral.
GAUGAACGCUAGCGGCAGGCUUAACACAUGCAAGUCGAGGGGCAGCGCGGGGGCAACCCUGGCGGCGAGCGGCGAACGGGUGAGUAAUGCAUCGGAACGUACCCAGUCGUGGGGGAUAACGUGGCGAAAGUCACGCUAAUACCGCAUACGUCCUGAGGGAGAAAGCAGGGGAUCGCAAGACCUUGCGCGAUUGGAGCGGCCGAUGUCUGAUUAGCUAGUUGGUGGGGUAAAGGCCUACCAAGGCGACGAUCAGUAGCUGGUCUGAGAGGACGAUCAGCCACACUGGGACUGAGACACGGCCCAGACUCCUACGGGAGGCAGCAGUGGGGAAUUUUGGACAAUGGGCGCAAGCCUGAACCAGCCAUCCCGCGUGAAGGAAGAAUGCGCUAUGCGUUGUAAACUUCUUUUCCAGGGGAAUAAAAUUUCGUACGAGUACGGGACUGAAGGUACCUUGGGAAUAAGCAUCGGCUAACUCCGUGCCAGCAGCCGCGGU